CGAUGUUCUCCGCGGAAGAAGACUUCGGAGACGAGGAAGAGGAGUUGGCGGAUCAGUGCCGCAUCUGCCGCCUCCCCGCCGGGCCGGGCCGCCCCCUGCGCCGCCCCUGCGCCUGCCGCGGCAGCAUCAGGUUCGUCCACGACGACUGCCAGCUCCGGUGGAUCGCCACCCGCGGAAAAACCCCGCUGCGAGGUGUGCAACCGCGGCAUCUCCACCCAACUUCUCUACGCCAGGAACGCACCUGCGAGGCUGCCCAUUUCUGAGUUCAUAGUGGGCUUGCCGGACAAGCUCACUGGUCUGCUGCUCCCACUCAUCUUCGCUGCCUGCGUCGUGCCGGAAUUCACCAUUCACAUCGGGACCCUCUGGUCAUGGCGCCUCGCGCUUGCUAGGUCCUUUGAUGAAGCACACUACCUGCUCUCACUCCGCCUCUCUACCGCCUCCGCCCUCGGUUUGUUCGCGCUCUGGGUCGCAUUUGCACAUGAGUAUGUGCCGUUUGCUGUAGCUCCAUUUUCGCACUGGGUUGCACGCCUGGAUGCUCGGCGCCAGGGGUUUGGAGGAUUUGAUGGCUCGCAAAUACUUGCGCUAUUUGCCGUCGAGGCGUUCUUGGUGGUGGUGAUGUUCGACCUGGCCCUUGCUUGUGUUUUGGUGUUUCUCCCAUUCUCUUUGGGAAGGAUCGUCCUAUGGUGCAUAUCGUGUUCCGAUUCUUGCAAUGCGGGUGAAUUCAACUCCUACACUUCGACAGCUUCCGUCCUUCUAACUGGAUACGGGUUUAUCAUUUCUGUGGGUGUAAUUUAUGCCGGGCUGUACAUUUUUGGCCAAUACUUGAGGGGGAAGCGCCUUGUGAUCGCAGCUUUCAUUACAAGUCUGUCUGGUAUAUUCCUCACAGGGAUCACAUGUUUUACCAGUGUUGCCAGUUUUUGUCUUAAUGCCCUGCACGGACUUAUAAUAUACCCGCUCUUCUUUGGCUGGUCGCUCGAUAUCUGCACUUCAAAAAUGUUGGGUGCAACAAUGUCUCAAAGGUUGGAACUUAUGUUUGCUUCAUCUUUUGCUUCAACUGCUCUUCAUUGUCUUAUUGGAUUCGAAUUUUUGUAUCUACACGGCCUAUGGUCCACACUUCUUCACAAGAUAUUCAGGCCAGGAGUUGCCAUUCCCACUUUCGACUAUGAUAUUAACAUCGACGAACCAUUCUACAAAUUUUAUUUCAACAAGCCUCAUCAUCUUCUGCAUGGCAUUCUCUAUAUGGCUGCGGUUAUUUUUGUUCCUGUUCAGAUUGCUGAUCGUUUGGCACCAGAAUUGUUCCCAUUAAAUCUCACUUGGCCUGCUGAGAGCUUAUCAUUUUGGCAAGCACCACGAAAAGUUGGCGAUUCACUUUCUCGUGUUCUUCUUCUGAGGUUUCUCAUCGACGAAACUUAUAUGCCAAAUUAUACUGUGUUGCUAGUGAAGAAGAUAAGUCGGUAUUCGGUUGCCACUAAUGUGGUGCUUGCAUGGUUGACUGGUGUGAUAUUCAAUUUGGCUUUGCUUAUUUUUCCAAUAUCAAUUGGGCGUGCCUUGUUUGCCAUCACCCGGCUGCCAGUAGCAGCUGGAUUGAAAUCCAAUGGUAAUGAUUCUUCAGAGAAAUCUUUG
This 1623-nucleotide ribosomal RNA is filed under the name Triticum aestivum (bread wheat). RNAcentral describes it as "partial small subunit ribosomal RNA". The record is from RNAcentral. Lineage: Eukaryota; Viridiplantae; Streptophyta; Magnoliopsida; Poales; Poaceae.